Molecule: ribosomal RNA, 402 nt
Filed under: uncultured prokaryote
Description: bacterial SSU rRNA
Rfam family: Bacterial small subunit ribosomal RNA
Source: RNAcentral
UGGGGAAUAUUGGACAAUGGGGGAAACCCUGAUCCAGCCAUGCCGCGUGAAUGAUGAAGGCCUUCGGGUUGUAAAGUUCUUUUGGUAGGGACGAUGAUGACGGUACCUACAGAAUAAGCCCCGGCUAACUUCGUGCCAGCAGCCGCGGUAAUACGAAGGGGGCUAGCGUUGUUCGGAAUUACUGGGCGUAAAGGGUGCGUAGGCGGUUCGAUAAGUCAGAUGUGAAAGCCCUGGGCUCAACCCGGGAACUGCGUUUUAGACUGUCGAGCUUGAAGUCGGUAGAGGUGAGUGGAAUUCCCAGUGUAGAGGUGAAAUUCGUAGAUAUUGGGAAGAACACCGGUGGCGAAGGCGGCUCACUGGACCGACAUUGACGCUGAGGCACGAAAGCGUGGGGAGCAAACA